Long non-coding RNA from Bubalus bubalis (water buffalo), 12022 nucleotides. RefSeq lists it as uncharacterized. The record is from RefSeq and is a predicted model, not a curated record. NCBI's taxonomy places the organism in Eukaryota, Metazoa, Chordata, Mammalia, Artiodactyla, Bovidae. The transcript has 3 exons.
UAUAUAUAGCUAUAACUAUGUACAAUAAAAAUAGAAAUGCCUUUCCCGUAUUUUCUGAAUAAGAUGGUGUAGUGAGGUAGAAUGAUGGCCAGCACCCAGAAGGAUAUGUUCAGUUAGUAUCUCAGAAACCUAUGAAUGUGACCUUAUUUGGAGAAAGAAUCCUUGUAGCUGUAAUGAAAUUAGGGAUCUCAAGAUGAGGUUGAGAUCAUCCUGGAUUAUCCAUGUGGGCCCUAAAUCCAAUGACAAGUGUCCUUAAAAAAGAUACACAGAAGAGAGACACACAGAAAGAGGAAGAGAAGCUCAUGUGAAGACAGAGACAGAGGUUGGACUUAUGCAACCACAAGCAAAGAAUUCCUGGAACCUCUAAGAUGCUGGAAGAAGCAAGGAAAGAUUUUCCCAUGGAGCCUUUAAGGAAAGUGCAGCCCUGUGGGUCUUUGAUUUUAUUUAUUUUAUCUUAUUUGUAUUUUGGGCCUUUGAUUUUAGACUUCUAGCUCCAGACGUGUGUUAGAAUACAUUUUGUUGUUUUAAGUCACAAAGAUUGUGGUGAUUUGUUAUGUUACCGCCAGGAAAUAGGAUAUUAUUUUGGUGCAUUAUUUGGUACAGGAGAAGACAGUCUGAAUUGUAGCAGAACCUCUGAGUCUGUAAUGUUAGAACCACCCAGAUCUGUGUGAACAUUUUCAAGUGCAAACUGACUAUGUUCCACACCAUUGCCUUCACAGAUUACAGAAGAAAGUUAGGAACAUCUGAUGAAACUCCUUGUUUACAAAGAGUAGACUUUGCAUGUCUCUGUAUUGUACCCCAACCCCAAAACACACACACAAAAACACGCAUACUACUUACCAGAGAAGUUUAAAAUAAAAGAGUAUUACGAAACUAAGCUCUGCUUAAGAUACUAUAUCUUCAAAUUCCAUGCUGUUGGUGGGUAUCCAAGACUUCAAAAAAUUCCCUACGGUUCUAUGAGUCAGUGAUAUCUUCAUAUUCCAAUCACCCUUGGGACUUCAGAAGAGCCAAGGUUUGUGCAGAUGAGGUACUGAUUGGCAAAUAUCCUGUGUCCUUUGCCUACUGGUGGCUCUUUCAAGAAGUUCCCUGAAUGGUUGUCACUCUGCUCAUCUCAAAUCAGGUUUACCAGCAGAAUAGACUUUCUAACUCACAAUUUCUCUGAAGCUUCUAUUUUAUCCAGAAUCAUCACUCACUUUCUUCAUAGCACUUAAUGCAAUGCCUAACUUCUAAUUAUUUGUUAAUUUCUAUACUGAUUGAUCAUUUUCCUCACUAGACAAGGAUCUCCAUGAGGGCAGUGACCAUAACUGUUUAGUCCAUUAUUAGUAUGAUGCUAGGUCCAUAGUAAACAUUAAAUAUUUUGUUGACUAUUUGUUGAAUUUAAGACUCCUGAUCUCCCUUACUAGGUACAAAUUUUUCAAUGGUGGAAACUUUCAAUAUAAUUGAUAUAUUUUAUCCCUGAGAGAAGAAGGAAUACAUUGCAAAGCUGUGAGACCAGGGGACCCAUUUCCUAGUAUAUUUAUUGUCUUUGAGUAAUUAUAUUUAAGAUGCAUAUGUUUUACCAAGAGAUGUAUAAAGAUUAUAUAGUAAUGAAGGAGGGAAAAUAAAGUAAAAGGAGACACAGGUCUGGCUUUGAGUACCUUCUACCCUGGUGCAAGAGACAGAUAUGUGUAGCAGAAAUACAUGCAGGUGGAAUGAAAAAGUGCCUUGAGGGCACAGUGGUGGGGGGAGAACAAGCCACACUAGGAAAAGGAAGAACCCAGGAAGGCUUCACAGAAGAGGCUGCUUUUAAAAUGGAACUUAAGGAUACAAAGGAUUUUGCAGGCAGAAAGAGAGCAAAUGAAGGGAGAAGGAGACUGGAAAUUUCAAGGGAUGGAACUGCCAGAACCACAAAGAACAGACACCACACUUUGAAGCGUUUGUUAAGGAACAUAACACAGCCUGAAUGUGUCAACCAGCAAACACCCAACCUCCAUAGAUUGUGAUUUUUCUAGUCUUGGCUGUUUAGAGAUGUCCUCAAUGCAUUUUACUUUUGGAGAGAAGGGUGGUGACAGUAAGAGAUAUACUUGUAUUUCUCUUUUAUUAGUUUGUUUUAGACCGUAUGCUUUAGACUGGAAGAAAGAUGCAUAGCUUUUUCCUUUCAUAGAUCUGAAAGCAAAUACUCUUUCUUCUCACAAGCCUCAGUCCACAUUUUCCAAGCCUACAUUCCCUGCUGACAGUUAUUAUGUGUUUUAAAAAUGAUGUAAAUUUUAAUCUUAGAGAAACCCACAAUUAGGAAGAUCUGUCUGUAAUCAGAAACAUCCAUGGUUUGCAUGUGACCUUGCUCCAUUUUGGUAAUACCCAUCACAGAAAAUUGAGGUUCUCUGGCUAAAGCACUUUCCACAUAUCUUCCUGGACACCUUAUAUAGAGCUGGAUCCUAAUAAAUGCUCACAAUGGGCUUGGCCUCCUGGGAGGCACCGAUGCAUCUCUAGACUGUAAGGGAAAACCUUUCCUUUAAUGCUCAGAUACAAAGAGUUUGAGUUGAAAACCUCAGUUGAAAGUUCAGCUACAUUAUGUCCUCUUUUAUAGCAAAUGAGAUCCAAGUAAAUAAAGUUGAAACUUCAUUCAGAAAUAGAAACUGUUUAGAGGGAAUUGUGUAAACUGAUAGAAAAACUUGCUCUGUGGUACACAGAUUCCUGAGAAACAGAACAAACUCACCUGAGAAUACAGAAGUUGCCAUUUUCAGCCAGCAAGAAAUGAUACUUUUGAUCACAUGCUAUAUUUUUUUUUUACCACCCAUAUUGAGGAAACAGACCCAAAUAAAACAGUGAAAUAGAGUAAUUUUUGUUCUUUAGGGUGCUACAUUUUCUACCAAAGCCCUGAAUAUUAUUUCCUUUAAUCUCUGUCCAUCCUAUUCUCUAAUAAAGCUUAUUUUUCCCCCGUGUCCCAGUUUCUCUUGGCAAUAUAUUAAACAUGGCCCCCAAAAAAGUUCUAACUACUCCUUUAUGCUCUAAGUAAUUUUUCACUUCCUUUAAGAAUUUUCCAUAUUCCUCCCCGAGGAAUUUUUCCCACUCUAAUAGUUAGUUAUGCCACUUUUGUUUCACAUGAUCUCAGGGUUUGAUUAUAGUUAUUAAUUUAACUCCUCCUUCUUUAAUAAAAUAUAGACCUCCCAGGGCAGGAGCUGUGUCUGUCUUUUCAGUUUCCCCCAUGAUUCUUAGAAAGACUGAUUUCUCCAUGGUUCAUCAAAAUGAACCAUAAAUGAUUUGUGGACAGUGGUGUUUACCUGCCUCCUCAGAUUUCAUUUCUGCAUUCCUCAAAGCCCAUCAUUUCCAUUUCAGGAUCUAUGUCAUUCUCAAGAUGUUCACUUCAUGCCUCAAUUUCAUGAUGGGAUUCUAAACUUGGGUUAAGUUAAACUGAGUGGUAUAUUUCAUUCCUCAUCUUAUACCUAAUUAAAAUAAUUGAUUCAAUAUGAACACAUGACUCAGAUGGUCCACUCAGAAAGAAUUUCAAGAUUUCUUCGAGGAAAAGGCAAAUCUUCUUGUGUUGUUUUUGUUUUUGCUUUAACCGUACCAUGCAGUUUGCAGGACCUUAGUUCCCUGACCAGGGAUCAAACCCAUGCCCCCUGCAGUGGAAGCGUGGACUCCUAACCAUUGGACUGACAGGGAAUUCUCCAAAUUCUAUUUUUUUUUUUUUUUUUUACAAAGUAGAGUGAGUAUAUUUGAGACUUAGAAGUGCUACAGUGAUUUUACUACCAUAACAGAAAUCAACAUAUUUUAGGCUCUUGAUACUGAUUAAGUGGUAGCUUGGCAGUGGACAUUUAACUAUCUAGUAUAUGAAAUAAGUUCUAAUAGCAGAAAAAAAAAAAAAAAACCCAGAAGAUCCCCUAAUCAAAUUUUGUACCACUAAAAUCUGGUAAUUAAAGAAGUUAAAGUUUUACCCAGUUUGCCUUCAUAAAACUGUUACUACGGUAUUUCCUCAUUGAUAAUAUGGAACCACUAGUGAGAUAAAGUAUGUAAAGCACUCAGCAUGUGCCUUGACCCUGAGUGGCCACCCUAUCAAUCUCAUUAGUUUCCCUUUCUUUUCUGUGCAGGGGUCUUUUUCCGAAACAACAAACAAACAAAAAACAAUAAAAACCCUGAAAUAUAUCAAUAACUCAAAAUUCUUAUAAGAGCAUGUUCUGAAGAACUCAGAAUAAAAAUAAAUAAUACUUAGGAAUGAAACCUCAUCCUCCAACUUUCAUGAGGAGACAACUAACCCAAACCAGGACUCUGGUAUUUUGGGGACUCCUAGUGCUUGAGAUACAGAUUAAUGGGAAACCAUUUCAAAUAACCUAAUGACUUAUCCUAUUUCUACACAACAAACCAUGGUGUAACAGUAUUUGCUACACAAAAGGGCAGGUUAGGACACAAAGAAAUAUAAACUCUCAAUUUCUUGAAUUAGAUCUUCGCAGUAAAAAGUACAAUAUGGAUAAUGUAAAGGAAGAAACUUCAGUUUGAUUUACCGAAAGAUAUUUGGAUAAAUUCAAGUUUGCUUCUUUUUGGAUUAUUGAACUGCCUAAAAAGUUGUAAAACCAGCAAUUACUUUCCAAAAGUUCCAAAACUCCUAUUACAAACCCAACACUCUAGAAUCUAGUAGCCUGUAAAGGGAAAGAAAGUGAAAGUCGCUCAGUCGUGUCCAACUCUUUGCAACCUCAUGGACUAUACAGUCUAUGGAAUUCUCAGGCCAGAAUACUGGAGUGGGUAGCCGUUCCCUUCUCCAGAGGAUCUUCCCAACCUAGGGAUCAAACCCAGGUCUUCUGCAUUGUAGGUGGAUCCUUUACCAGCUGAGUUAUCAGGGAAGCCAGCAGCCUGUAAGCCUACAUAGUAAUCAUCUUCUACCAAAUUACCUUUUAUUUUGUCAUAAUGCGAGAAAAACUCUCUCUGUUUUUAUUCCUGAAUUCUUUUAGAGCCUUAAAAGAAAAAUAUAGUCCUUAACAGUCAAGUUAACUUGUUAGUUCCAUUAGCAAAACUGUAAACUAUCCCUCUUUCAAUGAUCAUAGUUAAAUGUAAUAAAUUACAGGAUAUAGGAGGAAAAUAGCCUGAGCCUGGGUCCUAGCGCUGCCACUUAUUGGCUGUGUACAUCUCUUCACUUUAAAAUACCCCUUCAGCUUUAUAGAUGAUAAUACAUGCCCUGCCAAAACCAUAGGCUCUAAGAGAGUAAAACCUGAUCCUACCAACAUUUGCCACCAAAAUACCUGCCAUAAAACCUAUCCCUCACUGCAUCGCAGAGGAAAGUCUAGAAACUCAGGUCCAGGAGGGAAGAAGAGGAUGAAACAAAAGACAUGCAGAAAAUAGUAGAAAAGCCAUUGGCUUUGUGGCCAAAAAUGACCGUAUGUUAAAUCUGAUACUAUAAAAUUAUCAGUUUGAACUUAAGCAAUUUAUUUAGUCUCUCUGGGUUCAUUUCCUCUGUGUAAUGGAGAUUACACUAACAACAUUGCAGAAUUGUUAAAUGAAACAACAAAGAGAUGUAAAGGGUCCAGUGUAGAGGCUUGCAUUGAGAACUUCUUAAUAAAUGGUAGCUGAAAUGACACAGAAUAGUCAAGUAGAGAAAUAAGGUUUCAAUCACAUAAAUAUGUAAUUAAUGGGUAUUUUGCACAGUGAAUUAAAGGUUCUUUAGCAACAAGGCAGCAUAUAUUGAAGAUGACAUAUAUUUAAAGUGAUGGAACAAUUGCACAUAUAGAGUCUGGGAACUUUCAUUAAGUAAUAAGGCUCAACAAAGACACGUUUAACACUGGAACCACUUAAAACCCAGAAGAAUACUUAGAAGAGUCUAGGCAGCAAAAAAGGAAGAGAAAUCUAAACGAGACCUGAGAGAUAUGCCUUGGAGACCCUGGCUAAAGUAUAUGUAUGUGUGAUUUUUUUUAACAGUUUAUCCAUAAGAAAGCAUUAUAAAUUGGCACCAAAAUCUAAUGGUACUUUAUCUGAAUUUUCUUAUAUGUAAUGUUAUUUUACUUGAUUGGUAUCAUACUGUGUAUAUUUGUGACAGGGCAUUUUUGCCCAGUUCUUCACUCUUCCCUUUAUGCACACCCUUUGAAGUAUGACUUUGCAGUCCUUCCCACCACAGAAACAGCUCCCUUGACUUUGCAUUUGGCCAAGUGACUUGCUUUGGGCCAAAGACUAAGGCGGAAAUGAUGGUGUGAGAGUUUCUCACUUAGACCUUAAGAGUUGGUAUUUCUGCCCAUCCCCAUGGCUCUGCCAUUACCCUGAGAAGAGCAUGCUGGGCUAGUACCUGGUCCCAGGAGGAGAAUGAGAGACACAGAAAGUGGAGCUAAACCAGAGUCCAGCCUCAGGCAGCAGACACAGAUGCUGGAGCAAGACCAAGUGAGAUUUGGAAAGCCAACCAGCUGGGCCUAGACCAAUUGAUUGACCCUUAGCCAAUACACAGUUCCAAAAGGAUAAACACUUGCUCGUAAUAUUUCUGAGUCUUGAGAUGACUUAUCACACAACAUUUUGCUGGCAGUAUCUAGCCGAAUACAAUGUUUUUAAUAGGUGUCUUGUUUUUAAAAAUAAUGUCCCCGUCUGCUUACACAUUGCCACCAGAAAGGCAACUAUUCUUUGCUAUCUUUCAGGUAUCAUCAAGUUUAUGGGGUUUUUUUUUUUUUAAUAGUUUUGAUUCAUAACCAGAUACAUUAUCCAGAGAUGCAGAGAAAGGUUGUGUGAAAAAAAAUGUGAGUGGUAACUGGCUAUUUGACAAUGUUAAAGAUUUAUUUGGGGCAAAAUGAUAGUAUUAUGGUUAUGUUUUUGUUUUUCCUUUUUAACAGAGUCCUUAUCUUUUACAGAUACAUACCAAAAUAUUUAUGGAUAAGAUGAUUUUACUUUGGGGAUUUUCUGGGGUUUUCUUCAAAAUGAUCCAGUUUCAGGGGAGGUGGAAUAAACCAAACCAGAGCCGCUGUGAGUUGUAUCACCAUAGCUGAGCAUAGCUAGGCAAUGAUUAUAUGGGAUUCACUGUGAGGUAUGAUUUAAAUUUUCCAUAAUGACAGUUUUAAUUAGUAAUCUGAAAAGAAAAAAAUAAAGGCAGAAAACAUUUUCUUUUAAAAAGACAAACGAUGGUGAAAGAUAGAUAUAUUCUCCCAUUUUCUCUUAUGAGGCGUGAAUACAAUAAACUCCAAGGCCUCCAAAGGAAGCAUUGCCAGCGGGGCUCCCUCCAGAUCACCAAGUACUCUCAGCUUCUCUCUAGGAGUGCAUCCUCACUUUGUCCUCUGAAGAGAAAGCUUUGUGAAUACAAUGCUAUGAAAAAAAAAUGCCUCUUAGUGCAAGCCUGCUGAGCACAUAACAGCAUUCAAUAACUGUUCACUUGAUAAAAAACACUCCUGGUGGAGGGAGGAGAGGCCAGGUCACAGACACACUGGAGUCCCUGUCACCGUGCUCCCCUGAUCUUGCACUCAAUAUCCACGCCCAUGCUCAGCUGGGGGUGACGUGAUUGUCUGAACUUCACCAGGAAGUUCAGGAAACAUCUAAUUCAAGACUGCCCUUCACAGAUACUUUUAUCUGUGUUUUCAGUGAGCUGAAUUGACAAGGUAUUUGAAAAUCAUUGCCAUCAGUGAAAACCAACGCAGCAAUAAGAUCUUCUUCAUCCAGUGAAGUGAAAUAUUGUGACAUUCUCAGUGCUGGCACAGAUAAGAGCAGCAGCAUCACAUAUGCUUGGGGAGAUUGAGUAGAACAUCUCCUGUGACGUGCCUCACCCUAUCUUUCCACCCAAAAAUGAAGACAAUCUGAUAUGCUGAUGGCUUUUCCACACCUUUUCUCUUGGAUCCUAAAUCUGACCACUGCAUCAUCUUUCAAGAUGUCCAAUAGAACAGAACUGAAGUUCAAGGCCUUCAUCAGCCACCUGAAAACUUCCAGUUGGGCACCAGUCCAUUCAUGUGUGUCCUUCAGUUAGAGCUUUUCUCCAAAUAUCACACAGCCUGUGUUUCCAGAAUGCCUAUGUGGCCAGCAGCAAGCUUGCUAAAUGCCUGCAUGAAAACCACAUAAACUUUGUGUAAUGAUUUUUAUCUUUAUUCUGAUAUCUUAUCCAAAAUAUUCCUCACUCAACUUAACCUUCCAGCCACAUGAAUUAGCCUGUGGAGUCUGUACUCACAGUGGAACACAAGGAUUUGGAGGUUCAUCUGCGUUCAAGUUCCUCCCUUUCACCUAGUAAGCUGAGUACCCUCAGCAAAAAACAUCCAGACUCUCUGAGCCUCAUCUUGCUAAAUAAGAUAAUGGGCUAAUUGCCUAGACCCCUGCUGUAGAAUUUUAAUUUGUUUUAUAAUGUGCAUGAACUUUGUCUAAACCAGUAUUUUCCCUGUAAGGUAUUCCAUGAAUUUCAAACUCUACAUAGAGACUGUUCUGAAAUGGAGACCAUCAAACGUCCCCAUCGGUGCAAAGGCUCAAGAUUUUCACAGGUUAAUGCAUUCAGACACUAUACUUACACAAAAAAGGUUAUCACCUGUGAAGGAAUGCUGUUAUGUGGGAAGAUGAGGAUGACAACAACCAUAGUGAGGAUGAUGAUGAUCAUGCCCUUGAUAAUGAAACUGACAGCCCACCCUGAAGUCCACGCUGUAAUACUUCUGUUGUUGGCAUAACAAUAACACUCACGUGGCUUCUCAUAGCAUGAGUUCUAUUUUUCUGCAUGUCAGGAUAUUAUAAGGCAUUUCAGGACAGUUGCUAGGGUGACCAAUGAAUUUUAUGAGGAAAUAUAAAUGUACCUCAAAUCUGUACUUCCUCUCAAAAAGAGACUGGAUUCAAGGCCUAUGUAAUUCAUAGGAAACAAGCUUCAUGGUGCCAUUUUUAAAACAGAACUUGUUUUUCUAGAAGCAGAGCAUCAGCCCUUGCACUGUAGGAGACCACACUCCUAUAAAUAGAUAAGAAAUCUAAGGGUGUUUUGACUUAGGCAGGAAGUCUUAGAACACUGGUGAAGAAUUUUAGUUUUCAGUGUGUUUAUUCAUCAAUACAUUUCAAACACACACACACACACACACACACACACACACACACACACACACACCCCACAGACAGAUCUAGUAACUGGAUCACCAAAAUCCUUUAUUCUAGGCUACACCAGGCCAGCACCUAAUCUAAGAUUCACAUAUUCCCACCCUGUUAAAAAAAAAAGAAAAAAACACAGUCUUGGGCUUUUUUCUCUUGAUCUUAACCUUAACUUCUUGCCUCACCAUCCAUGUCUACAUACACCUAGCUCCUGUUUGGCUUUGUCUUUUGUUCUUAUCCCUUGUAGCUGAAGGUAGAUUUGGCUUUUUCAGUUCCAGGAAACCUCCCCACUUGAUCAAGCACUUACCUGGAGCUUAUCAUCAGUGAUGGUUUCCUUGGUUACCUAACAAUCCUCAGGGGAGAGUUUCAGAGCGUUUCCUUGAGAAUGGCCAGCUCUUGCCAGAGAAGUUUAAGAAACAGUUGCAAUAGACCUUUCCUUUGCUGUUGCUGCUUAGUUGCUUCAGUUGUGUCCUACUCUGUGUGACCCUAUGGACUGCCACCUGCCAGGCUCCUCUGUCCAUGGGAUUCUCUAGGCAAGAGUACUAGAGUGAGUUGCCACGCCCUCCUCCAGGGGAUCUUCCCGACCCAGGGAUCGAACCCAGGUCUCCUGCAUUGCAGCCUGAUUCUUUACCACUGAGCCACCAGGGAAGUCCUAGACCUUUCCUUUAGCAGCCCCCAAAGUUUCAUUCUUUUUUUAAAAAAAAAAUCUUCCCAAGUUUUCUGUUUACUUACCAUAUUCGUUUCAAUUCUCCAUUUUGAUAGCUGUAUCUCCAGAGCACAUUUUUUUCUUGAAGGAUAAAUUUAUUAAUUUAUUCAACAAGUACUUGCGUGGUACCAGGCCACUUAACAGCAGAGUUCCAGAAGCUGCCCGUUAGGUUUGAUUCUGCCUUUGUGGGGGAACCUGUCAUCUGCUUGUGCAGCAUCCCACAUGGGAUAAAAAAUAAGGUCAAGAUGGUGCCUUAAACCACUCUUACUCAAUCUUAUACUGGAAGUUGUUUCCAAAUCCAUGAGGAAGCACAUGUCUUCAUGACCUUGUCUGUUUCAGUGGUUUAUUAGGUCUGACACCGAGGCACAAUCAAUGAAGCAAACAAUAAAUGGAUUUCCUGAACACUUUUCUGGAUUAAAUGACACUAUCCAUAAACUAUUUGGAAAAAGCCCACAAAAUAAAAAUAUUUUACAAAACAUUAUACAUAAUAUUUUGGUAAAUAGGAAGGAUUUCUGAUUGUUUAGUUCCUUUGGCUUUAUUGAAUCUUUCUGUAAAGGCAUGCCUGUGCUGUGUUAAAAAUUGUUUUCAUACUUGGGUAUUGGUUAAGGUUUAUUUUAUUGUUAAUGGCUCUGCUCUAUUGAGGGACCCACAACACAGGGCCAACUCCCCUGGGGAAGCACACAACCCAUCUCAAACUGUGGUAACUUCCUGCAGGUCUCAGCCGCAGUGGGCACUCCCCACACACCCUAACCAUGUCUGCCACAUCCCUUCCUCUCCCCAGCCCAACUGUGCAAGUGAACCUUAGUAAGCUGCUACUUUUGCCCCUUCCUGUCUGGGCAGGGAAUAGACAUCUGAGGGCCACCAGAGGCACAGAAGACAGAAAUGAAAGACAACACAAACAGAGAGAGAUACCAUGUUCUUGGAUUGGAAGAAUCAAUACUAUGAAAAUGACUGUGCUAUCCAGAGCAAUUUAAAGAUUCAAUACAAUCCCUAACAAACUACUAAUGGUAUUUCUCACAGAACUAGAACAAAAAAUUUCAUAAUUUGUGUAGAAACACAAAAGACCCCAAAGAGCCAAAGCAAUCUUGAGAAAGAAAAACAGAGCUGGAGGAAUCAACCUUCCUGACUUUAAACUAUUAGCCUUCUUAUCACAUAACUGAGAGGUAAGAAAAAUAUUAAAAUAAAUUUCUUCUUUAAAAAUCCAAGUCAUAUAAAACUACACUUUGUACAAGAUAUUUGAAACUAUAGAAACUGAGGAGUGGGGAAAGUAGGUUGAGGUUGAAAAAAUAAAGAGACAAAUGUGCCCUCCAAUGGUACAAAAAGAAACCCAAAUGUUAAUUUUUAAAUGUUUUUUGGAUUGAAAAGGCAUUACGUGUUUACUCCAGAACAUUUCUUUUAACUACAGAAAAACACAAAGCGAAAGGAAAUUCACUCACAUUUCCAUGAUCAUAAAUAAUAAUUAAGUUUGGUAUUUUUUCUCCAGUUUUUAUUACAUACACUAUAGACACACUUUUGAUCACAGUGUACAUGCUUAAUUGGUUAAGUGAGGAGAAAGAUAUAUGACUUCCUUUAAUUUUAUUAUUUUUAUCAAUGAAACUUCUAAAUUAUUAAACACAAUUAAAAGACAAUUUAUAGAAUUGGAGAAAAUACUUUCAAAACUUGUGACUGACAAUAGGUUAAUCUCAAAAAAAAUACAAACAGUUCAUGCAGCUCAAUGUAAAAAGAAAAAAAAAAGAUUCUCAGCAACACAAAUUACAAGAGAAGUGCAAAUCAACCAUUGAGUCAUCGGAAACCUUUCUUUUGCUUUCCAGAAGAUGGUGCUGUAAUGCAAGGUUUUGGUUUCUCUUAACUGGACUGAGUCUUCACACUAUACACUUUCACUUUCCACCUCCUCCAAACUCCUGCUCCAUGGAUUGCUGAUUUCUCCUGUCAGGUGGGCUGCACCUCCACAACUUCUCACCUCCCAUGAGUGCCCAGGUCUGCACCCUCCAGGUUGCCUUGAUCCUUGUGGUGGCAAGUGGGGAUCAGUAGACUGUGACUCCCCAGGAUCUCUCCCUCUGAAGUUCUAGCCACUCACUUCCCACAGGUGGGUGGGUCUCUCAGGUGUCUUUGUGUUACUGUGCAGAGGCACUUGUGUUGGGUCAUGGAUGUCUGGUUAAUUGUGAACCAAAAGAAGAGAAAAAGGGAAGGACUCUUGCCACCCCUACUAUGUUGAUGUCACUCAUCAAAAACUGCUUUGAAGAGGAGUGACCCUGCUGCUGCUGCUGCUAAGUCGAUUCAGUCGUGUCCGACUCUGUGCAACCCCAUAGAAGGCAGCCCACCAGGCUCCCCCGUCCC